AGCGAACGCUGGCGGCAGGCUUAACACAUGCAAGUCGAGCGGGCACUUUCGGGUGUCAGCGGCGGACGGGUGAGUAACGCGUGGGAACGUGCCCUCUGGUUCGGAAUAACUCAGGGAAACUUGAGCUAAUACCGGAUACGCCCUUUUGGGGAAAGGCUUGCUGCCGGAGGAUCGGCCCGCGUCUGAUUAGCUAGUUGGUGAGGUAACGGCUCACCAAGGCGACGAUCAGUAGCUGGUCUGAGAGGAUGAUCAGCCACACUGGGACUGAGACACGGCCCAGACUCCUACGGGAGGCAGCAGUGGGGAAUAUUGGACAAUGGGCGCAAGCCUGAUCCAGCCAUGCCGCGUGAGUGAUGAAGGCCUUAGGGUUGUAAAGCUCUUUUAUCCGGGACGAUAAUGACGGUACCGAAGGAAUAAGCCCCGGCUAACUUCGUG
RNAcentral lists this ribosomal RNA (435 nucleotides) under uncultured bacterium. RNAcentral describes it as "partial 16S ribosomal RNA". It matches the Rfam family "Bacterial small subunit ribosomal RNA", at positions 29 to 507 of the family's 1533-position model. The record is from RNAcentral.